RNAcentral lists this transfer-messenger RNA (384 nucleotides) under Rhizobiaceae bacterium. It matches the Rfam family "Alphaproteobacteria transfer-messenger RNA". Rfam says of the family: Bacterial tmRNA, also known as 10Sa RNA or SsrA, is named for its dual tRNA and mRNA-like properties. Its role is to liberate the mRNA from a stalled ribosome. To accomplish this part of the tmRNA is used as a reading frame that ends in a translation stop signal. The record is from RNAcentral. Lineage: Bacteria; Pseudomonadati; Pseudomonadota; Alphaproteobacteria; Hyphomicrobiales; Rhizobiaceae.
CGGCUUGAACGCAAUUCUGAAUCGACCUAUGUUCGUCGUGCUGCGGCAACGCAGCUAUGACAGUAGACGGCCAGACGCAAUAGCUGAAGUAGACCCCGGGGCAGUACCGGGCGGGUCCACCUGAAGUCUCGCGAAGGUCUCGACAGCGAUUAUUCCGCGGAUCGAGACUUGAGGCGGGCCCGAAAUAGGAUCGAUGCUCAGUGAAAGGUUUGGUUUGCUGUUCGGUAUUGUUCCACCGUUAUCGGGCUUUAUCAAUAGUUGCCAACGACAACUAUGCGGAAGUGCGUCUCGCAGCCUAAGGCUGUGCGAUAGCUUCAAAUCAAGCCCUGGGGGUUCGCACUUCCAGGCGGGGUCCGGAGGCACCUGGCAACAGAAGCCUCCACU